CGGAGAAGGAGCAUGAGAAACGGCUACCACAUCUAAGGAAGGCAGCAGGCGCGCAAAUUACCCAAUGCCGAUACGGCGAGGUAGUGACAAGAAAUAACAAAGUAUACGGCUAUGUCGUUAUACCAUUGGAAUGAGUAGAAUUUAAAUCUCUUUUCGACUAUCGAUUGGAGGGCAAGUCUGGUGCCAGCAGCCGCGGUAAUUCCAGCUCCAAUAGCGUAUAUUAAAGUUGUUGCGGUUAAAAAGCUCGUAGUUGGAUUUCUGUACGAGAGCACCGGUCCGCAUUUUGUGCGUGUAUCUGGUAGAACUUGUGCAUCCUCUUAUUUUCAAAUCUGCGCUUCAUUGCGUGGUCUUGUGGAUAAGACUUUUACUUUGAGGAAAUUAGAGUGUUCACGGCAGGCAAGCGCCCUGAAUAUGUUAGCAUGGAAUAAUAAUAUAAGACUUCGGUUUUAUUUUGUUGGUUUCUAAAGCUGAAGUAAUGAUUAAUAGGAACAGUUGGGGACACUUGUAUAACUCGCUAGAGGUGGAAUUCUUGGAUUGAGUUACGACAAACUACUGCGAAAGCAUUUGUCAAGGAUGUUUUCAUUGAUCAAGAACGAAAGUGAGGGGAUCGAAGACGAUUAGAUACCGUCGUAGUCUUCACCAUAAACUAUGCCGACUAGGGAUAGGGCGUCGUUCUUUCUAUGACUCGCUCUGCACCUUAUGAGAAAUCAAAGUUUUUGGGUUCCGGGGGGAGUAUGGUCUCAAGUCUGAAACUUAAAGGAAUUAACGGAAGGGCCCCACCAGGAGCGGAGCCUGCGGCUUAAUUUGACUCAACACGGGAAAACUCACCAGGCUCAGACAUAGUAAGGAUGGACAGAAUGAUAGCUCUUUCUUGAUGCUAUGGGUGGCGGUGCAUGUCCGAUCUUAGUUAGUGGAGUGAUUGGUCAGGUUAAUUCCGUUAACGAACGAGAUCUUUACAUGCUAACUAGAACAUAGUCUCUUCGGAAACCUAGCUUUCUUAUUAGAGGGACCGUGUCAUUUUCAGGGCACGGAGGUUAGAGGCAAUAACAGGUCUGUGAUGCCAUUAGAUAUUCUGGGCUGCACGCGCGCUACACUGAUGCGUUCAACGAGUUUAUAACCUUAAACGAAAGGUACGUGUAAUGUUAUGAAAUCGCAUCGUGAUGGGGAUAGAUUAUUGUAAUUUUUAAUCUUGAACGAGGAAUUCAUAGUAAGUGUGAAUCAUCAGUUCGCGCUGAUUACGUCCCUGCCCUCUGUACACACCUCCCGUCGCUCGUACCGAUUGGGUGAUCCGGAGAAUAAUUCGGACCGGUAGCUUU
Molecule: ribosomal RNA, 1316 nt
Filed under: uncultured eukaryote
Lineage: Eukaryota
Description: SSU rRNA
Rfam family: Eukaryotic small subunit ribosomal RNA
Source: RNAcentral